This 763-nucleotide ribosomal RNA is filed under the name Polykrikos schwartzii. RNAcentral describes it as "LSU rRNA". It matches the Rfam family "Eukaryotic large subunit ribosomal RNA", at positions 29 to 664 of the family's 3401-position model. The record is from RNAcentral. Lineage: Eukaryota; Dinophyceae; Gymnodiniales; Gymnodiniaceae.
UGAAUUUAAGCAUAUAAGUAAGCGGAGGACGAGAAACUAAACAGGAUUCCCACAGUAAUGGCGAAUGAACGUGGAGGAGCUCAACAUGAGAAUUGUGGCCUUCGGCCUUGAAUUGUAAUCUCAAGAUGUACUGCCAACGGAGGCGCAGGCGUAAGCCUCUUGGAAAAGAGCAUCGUUGAGGGUGAGGAUCCUGUUCGUCUCCUGCAGACCUCCGUGUACGGCGUACUUUCAAAGAGUCACGUUCCUUGGGAUUGGAGCGCAAAUCGGGUGGUAAAUUUCAUCUAAAGCUAAAUAUGGGUUCGAGACCGAUAGCAAACAAGUACCAUGAGGGAAAGAUGAAAAGGACUUUGAAAAGAGAGUUAAAAGUGCCUGAACUCGCUGUAAGGAAAGCGGAUGGAACCAGUCUUGCUUGGCAAGAUUGUCGCGCCGUUGCGCGGGGCUGAAGGGGACAGGUUGAACUUGAAAUUCCUUGUACCUGGAAGUGCACGCGUGCCGCGAUGUUUCUUGCCUUGCUUGUCACAAGCGGUUUGCGAUUGAAGACGACCUCUCGGGACAUGGAAGCUCGCCCCAGGGUGUGCGAACGUGCCUUGCAGAACUUAGUCGUAGACUGGCGCUCUGCCCAAGCUGCGGGCCGUAGCCAGCGCAGGUGGUGUGAAAACAGCUUGCGUUGCCCUUUGUUACAAGGGGCGCUGGUUUACGCCCGACUAUUGGUGCACUUGCUUUUGUGACUGAAUGGUUCUAUUCGACCCGUCUUGAAACACGG